RNAcentral lists this ribosomal RNA (275 nucleotides) under uncultured bacterium. Its description in RNAcentral is "partial 16S ribosomal RNA". It matches the Rfam family "Bacterial small subunit ribosomal RNA", at positions 473 to 747 of the family's 1533-position model. The record is from RNAcentral.
CGGUACCUGAAGAAUAAGCACCGGCUAACUACGUGCCAGCAGCCGCGGUAAUACCUAGGGUGCAAGCGUUAUCCGGAUUUACUGGGUGUAAAGGGAGCGUAGACGGUGUGGCAAGUCUGAUGUGAAAGGCAUGGGCUCAACCUGUGGACUGCAUUGGAAACUGUCAUACUUGAGUGCCGGAGGGGUAAGCGGAAUUCCUGGUGUAGCGGUGAAAUGCGCAGAUAUCAGGAGGAACACCGAUGGCGAAGGCAGGUCUCUGGGCUGUUACUGACGCU